GAUGAACGCUGGCGGCGUGCCUAAUACAUGCAAGUCGAGCGAACAGACGAGGAGCUUGCUCCUCUGACGUUAGCGGCGGACGGGUGAGUAACACGUGGAUAACCUACCUAUAAGACUGGGAUAACUUCGGGAAACCGGAGCUAAUACCGGAUAAUAUAUUGAACCGCAUGGUUCAAUAGUGAAAGACGGUUUUGCUGUCACUUAUAGAUGGAUCCGCGCCGCAUUAGCUAGUUGGUAAGGUAACGGCUUACCAAGGCAACGAUGCGUAGCCGACCUGAGAGGGUGAUCGGCCACACUGGAACUGAGACACGGUCCAGACUCCUACGGGAGGCAGCAGUAGGGAAUCUUCCGCAAUGGGCGAAAGCCUGACGGAGCAACGCCGCGUGAGUGAUGAAGGUCUUCGGAUCGUAAAACGCUGUUAUUAGGGAAGAACAAAUGUGUAAGUAACUAUGCACGUCUGGACGGUACCUAAGCAGAAAGCCACGGCUAACUACGU
RNAcentral lists this ribosomal RNA (496 nucleotides) under uncultured bacterium. Its description in RNAcentral is "partial 16S ribosomal RNA". It matches the Rfam family "Bacterial small subunit ribosomal RNA", at positions 28 to 506 of the family's 1533-position model. The record is from RNAcentral.